UUGGUAGAAACCAAAAAGAGGUGUGUCACUGUUAAUGACAUAAUUGAAAUCAUUUCCUAUCAAU
This 64-nucleotide transfer RNA is filed under the name Tenuilapotamon latilum. RNAcentral's name for it is "tRNA-Asn". The record is from RNAcentral. Lineage: Eukaryota; Metazoa; Arthropoda; Malacostraca; Decapoda; Potamidae.